AACGAACGCUGGCGGCAGGCCUAACACAUGCAAGUCGAGCGGACCCUUCGGGGUUAGCGGCGGACGUGUGAGUAACGCGUGGGAAUAUGCCCUUCUCUACGGAAUAGUCCUGGGAAACUGAGGGUAAUACCGUAUACGCCCUUUGGGGGAAAGAUCUGGCGGUGGAGGAUGGGCCCGGGUUGGUUUAGGUUGUUGGUGGGGUAAUGGCCUACCAAGGCGUCGAUGGGUAGCUGGUUUGAGAGGAUGACAGGCCACACUGGGACGGGGACAAGGCCCAGACGCAUACGGGAGGCAGCAGUGGGGAAUAUUGCACAAGGGGCGGAAGCCUGAUGCAGCAACGCCGCGUGCGGGAGGACGGCCUGCGGGUUGUAAACCGCGGUCGCCUGUGACGAAGCGGGAGUGACGGUAAUGGGUAAAGAAGCACCGGCUAACUACGUG
Molecule: ribosomal RNA, 438 nt
Filed under: uncultured bacterium
Lineage: Bacteria
Description: partial 16S ribosomal RNA
Rfam family: Bacterial small subunit ribosomal RNA
Source: RNAcentral